Sinocyclocheilus rhinocerous is the source of this 287-nucleotide long non-coding RNA. RefSeq lists it as uncharacterized. The record is from RefSeq and is a predicted model, not a curated record. Lineage: Eukaryota; Metazoa; Chordata; Actinopteri; Cypriniformes; Cyprinidae. The transcript has 3 exons.
UAGCUCCAACCCCAAUUAAGCAGACCUGAGCAGCUGAUCAAGGAUCACCAGAAACUCUGCAGAACGUUGGUCCUCCAUGCCCAGGACUGGACACCAGUGUUCUAAAUAAAACCAAAGGCCAUUCAGCCACAGGUCACUGCAUCUUUUGCUGUAUGCUGGAGAAAAAACAGCCAGGCUAAAGCAUUCAAAGUGGAAACUUCUGUCGUGGCUCAAUAAUCCAGGAUUGGGAUGGUGGAAGGAGCAGAAGAACCAGAAGAUCAGAGAUCAGGCAGAGAUCUACUGGUGCC